UACAGAGGGCUCAAGCGUUGUUCGGAUUCAUUGGGCGUAAAGGGUGCGUAGGCGGCGCGGUAAGUCGGGUGUGAAAUCUCGGGGCUUAACUCCGAAACUGCAUUCGAUACUGCCGUGCUUGAGGACUGGAGAGGAGACUGGAAUUUACGGUGUAGCAGUGAAAUGCGUAGAGAUCGUAAGGAAGACCAGUGGCGAAGGCGGGUCUCUGGACAGUUCCUGACACUGAGGCACGAAGGCCAGGGGAGCAAACGGG
This 253-nucleotide ribosomal RNA is filed under the name uncultured bacterium. RNAcentral's name for it is "partial 16S ribosomal RNA". It matches the Rfam family "Bacterial small subunit ribosomal RNA", at positions 524 to 776 of the family's 1533-position model. The record is from RNAcentral.